UAGGCACAAAGACGGUUCGGCUGCCGU
Molecule: small RNA, 27 nt
Filed under: Bombyx mori (domestic silkworm)
Lineage: Eukaryota; Metazoa; Arthropoda; Insecta; Lepidoptera; Bombycidae
Description: ovarian small RNA-6414
Source: RNAcentral